Ochotona curzoniae (black-lipped pika) is the source of this 102-nucleotide small nuclear RNA. NCBI's taxonomy places the organism in Eukaryota, Metazoa, Chordata, Mammalia, Lagomorpha, Ochotonidae. The record is from RefSeq and is a predicted model, not a curated record.
UUGCUGCAGUAGCAGAUAUACUAAAAUUAGAACGAUACACAGAAGGUUAGCAUGGCCCUUGCACAAAGAAAAAGAAGAUAACAGGACCCUGGAAAUCAAUAU